UUAGACUUUGUAAAGAAUAUAUAACUACACAGACUGGUGCUGUCACUUGUUGAUAUGCCUCUGUGACCAAGUGAUCAACACGUUUCUUCCCAUCCACGUCUUAUCUUCGAAUAACGACACUGCUUCCAGCCUCCAAGAGGCUAGAGGGAUUGGGAGCUCUGCUUUAGUCUCCUCCUGCAGCGUAUUCUUUGCUCAUUCAUCUACUUGUUCAUUUGGUUUGACUGCCCCAAAUACCAGCCUCAGACGUUCCAGCAGUGCUGGGAGGUGAACCCUGAAGACAGAGGUCCACUGGCAGGCACUGGGAUCCUGGCUCUGCACACAUUGCACGAGGCCUUCAUCAGAAGUCACCAGAUGCAGCAGGACAAUCUGGAGCUUCCCAGCCUGCAGAAUUGUGAGCUACAUCAACUUCUCUUCUUCAUAAACUACCCAGUCUUAGGAAUAACGUUAUAGCAACACAAAAUGAACUAAGACAAGUGAAAUGGUUUGUUACAGCUCACUAAAAUUCGGAAAAAAAGAAACCGUCCAGUAACUUCAGUGUACACUAUUAACUUGUAGGAGAGGCGUCAUGAUGUACUACAGAAGACAGACAUGAACUGGUUCAAACUGUGGCGGUGCCACUUGUUACCUUGUUACCCAGCACAAGCAUGUAGGUCCUGACAUGAGCUGGGAACGUGCUGUCCCUCUAAGUGCAUACUCUUUACAUAUCUGUCCCUCAUUUAGAGGCUGAGUGCUACAGGGUGAUGGGCAAAGGAGGCUCUUUUCUACACUGCCAGCACUUUAGCUGGAGCCCAGACCUGCAAACCCUAAUGCUGCAAAACAGAAGCUCUAUCAUUAACCUCACGUCUUCCUUAGAAGGCACACUGUGCCCUUCUGUUGCUAUUUGAUCAUGCACUACAGGAAGGGUCCCACUUUUGCACUUCCAUGCCUUUCCAGGCAGCCUAUCAAACCACUCUUUCAACCUCUCCUUGAGGAAAAUCCUGACCAUUGUCACUUCUUCCAUCAUGAUAUAUUUCCAGGAUAUUUUAGUAUCCCUUACAGAUUGUUCACGCAGAUGAUGGCCUGGCUGGCGUGCCACUUAAGCUCUGUUUUAUGUCCUUAGACAAAUUACUAAAUCCCUCUGCUAUAUUUUCUGGCCCAUAAAGUGGGGACAAAAUCCAUUUAUCUCACACAACUGUUAAAAACUAAAGGUGGUGUAGUACACUGUGUGUUAUGAGAAUAAGUCAAUAAAAUUAAUGCUUAUUAAUGUUUCUAUCAUAAUUACUUUUAUCUUUCGAGAUCGAUUUUUAAAAAUUCUAUGACAUCCAGGAAAUGCAAAUUAACUUGCAAUUAAAGUAAAUAGAAUUUGACUGAGGAAGGGAACUUUGCACUGAUAAUGGUUUGUAACCUGUUGCAUUGUUCUCUUCUAUGGUUGUGAAUAGCCAAUUAAGCACAUUCAGGAUUUAGAA
Tupaia belangeri chinensis (Chinese tree shrew) is the source of this 1445-nucleotide long non-coding RNA. RefSeq lists it as uncharacterized. The transcript has 3 exons. The record is from RefSeq and is a predicted model, not a curated record. Lineage: Eukaryota; Metazoa; Chordata; Mammalia; Scandentia; Tupaiidae.